Molecule: transfer RNA, 81 nt
Filed under: Cattleya crispata
Lineage: Eukaryota; Viridiplantae; Streptophyta; Magnoliopsida; Asparagales; Orchidaceae
Also listed under: 1 other name
Description: tRNA-Cys
Rfam family: tRNA (bases 1-71)
About the family: Transfer RNA (tRNA) molecules are approximately 80 nucleotides in length. Their secondary structure includes four short double-helical elements and three loops (D, anti-codon, and T loops).
Source: RNAcentral
GGCGGCAUGGCCAAGUGGUAAGGUGGGGGACUGCAAAUCCUUUAUCCCCAGUUCGAAUCUGGGUGUCGCCUGAUCAACAAA